This is a long non-coding RNA of Cucurbita moschata (crookneck pumpkin), 467 nucleotides long. RefSeq lists it as uncharacterized. The transcript has 4 exons. The record is from RefSeq and is a predicted model, not a curated record. Lineage: Eukaryota; Viridiplantae; Streptophyta; Magnoliopsida; Cucurbitales; Cucurbitaceae.
GGAAGACAGAAUUUGAAAGAGUGGUUGAUGGCUUGUUCAUAAAAUCUGCUAAGAGGACUGUGUGGGUUAUGGUGCAUUGGUCAGCUAUUGUCUCCAACACUUGCAGCGCCUGGGAAUGGCCUUUAGAAGAGUGGCUUUCGCUUGCAACAACUCAGAGAAAUCAACUUCAAAAACGUCACUUUCCUUCAAGCAACUUAAUCUGUUGCCGUGGUUAUCUAUCAUUAACUAGCGUUUUAGCCUGCCCUCUCCCCCACUGCAACCCCACCAAAGACGAAAGAGGAAAAAAGAGAUAGAGAACGACAAGAAAAAUAAAAAGGACUACGCACUUUUCUUAGAUAUCAUUGUAAAAACAGGGUCGUUAUUUGUGCUGUUGGCUAUGGCUAUCUUCUACUGCUAUGGUUGGGACCCUCUUAAUGCAGUAUGAAGUUUAACUAAUUGCAGCUUCUGGGAGUUGAACCAACCUGCAC